RNAcentral lists this ribosomal RNA (408 nucleotides) under uncultured eukaryote. RNAcentral's name for it is "partial 18S ribosomal RNA". It matches the Rfam family "Eukaryotic small subunit ribosomal RNA", at positions 592 to 976 of the family's 1831-position model. The record is from RNAcentral.
CAAUAGCGUAUAUUAAAGUUGUUGCAGUUAAAAAGCUCGUAGUUGGAUUUCGAAUGGGAGCGGUGGGUCGGGUCCGCAAGGGCUCGUUACCUGUUUCGUCUCCGGUUCUUUUUCGGGAUUUGUUUCUGGCGUGGCUGGCAUUGAGUUGUCGGUGGCGUCGGGCCCGUCGUUUACUGUGAACAAAUUAGAGUGUUCAAAGCAAGGUGUGUCUUGAAUACAUUAGCAUGGAAUAAUGAGAUAGGACUUUGGUGGUUUCGGUGAAAGCCGGAUAUUUUGUUGGUUUGCACGCCAAAGUAAUGAUUAAUAGGAGCAGUUGGGGGUAUUCGUAUUCAAUUGUCAGAGGUGAAAUUCUUGGAUUUCUAGAAGACGAACUACUGCGAAAGCAUUUACCAGGGAUGUUUNCAUUAA